GCGAAGGUUUUGUCCCACCAGAAUCAGAUCCUGAAACCGGAGUACAAAUCAAAGACGUUCAAAUUGAUCCACAAAUUAACCUAUCAGCAAGACUUUACCUGCCCAAACAUGUGGACACUGUUGAGAAAAUUCCUCUUUUUGUCUACUUUCACGGCGGUGGUUUUCUGAUCGAAUCUGCUUAUUCACCUUCAUAUCACAAGCAUAUAAGCAAAGUAGCAGCUGAAGCAAAAGUAGUUAUUGUUUCUGUUAACUACAGGUUAGCUCCUGAGUACCUUUUACCCAUAGCUUAUGAAGAUUCCUGGCUAGCUCUCAAAUGGGUCGCUUCACAUGCCAAUGGUGAUGAUGGUCAUGAGCCAUGGCUAAAAGACCAUGCCGAUUUCAAUCGCCUCUUUUUGGGGGGAGAUAGUGCGGGUGGUAACAUUGCACACCAUAUAGCCAUUCGGGUGGGGUUGGAAAAGUUGGAUGGAAUGAAACUUAAAGGGAUUUUCCUUGCCUGUCCAUUUUUCUGGGGGAAGGAUCCUAUUGACGGUGAGGGAGAAAAAUUAGUUGUCAUUGAGAAGCUAUGGUUGUUCGUGAAUCCGAAUAGCUCGGGAUUAGAUGACCCGUUGAUUAACCCGGUAAAGGAUCCGAAUUUGUCUAGCUUAGGAUGUGAUAAAGUAGUUGUGUAUGUGGCCGGAAAAGAUGUGUUGAGAUUCAGGGGACUUUACUAUAAGGAGGUGUUGGAGAAGAGUGGGUGGCCGGGGACGGUGGAGGUUGUGGAGGUUAAAGAUGAGGCACAUGUGUUUUACCUGUCUGCUACAGAAACUGAAAAUGCCAUGGCCAUGAUGAAAAAAUUGGCCUCUUUCCUUAAUCAGUCCUAGGCCUAGUCAUGGUAAUUGGGUACGCACGUGUUGAAGAAGAAGAAAACUUACUAUUGAAAUAUGUAUGUCAAAGGAACAGGUCAAACAAAACUAAUUUUGAAGAGUUUACGGCAGUGCUGCCUAUCUCACGUACUAUUUUAAUGAAUAAAAAAUGAAUGUAAUUUCUCACAGUAAAUCUUUUUCUUAAUAUAUUUCUCAAUCUGCAGCCUACUCUUUUAGUUGAAAUAGGUUGACUAAACGGAUGGACUAAAUGUAAGUUGGUAAAUAUUUCUAUCUGCAAAUAUCAGAUGUGGGCAUUCACACUGUUCAAAUUGAAUAUGAAAAUUUGAUUUGAGUUUUUUAUUUUUGUAUUGAAGAAAUUACCGUUUUUCAAAUUCAAUUAACCUUGCAAUUGAUUGGAGUUUUAAGGUUUCAUUUAAAACUAAUCAAUUUUGACAUUGUGAAUUUAAAUUUUUGAGCCUUUAAUACAAGUGUGACAAUAAACAAGCUCAAUUCCCUUGAUAGUUUACUGUUUGGAAUGUAUAACUUUUUACAGUUCACUUGAGGUCACUACACUCGUGCCGUGGGUUAUACUGGUAGACUAUUUUUUCACUUUUAUCCACGUGAUGUCGGAAAUAAAAUAGAAUUAUUUGAUUUUAAUUAAUGAAAUCAUUUUGAUGACAUAGAAUACUAUUUGACUCUUAAAAAUAAAUUUUAUUACCAAGUUGUUGGUUUUAAAAGUAGAUCUAUCUCACAGAACUUGUUUAUAGUAACACCAACCUUUUCUGGUAACUUAGCUUUCAGUGAUGGCGGAAAUAGAACAUGACCUUUCCCCACUGAUUAGAGUUUACAGAGAUGGUCGAAUCGAGAGGAUGAUGGGUGAAGGUUUUGUCCCACCUGAAUCGGAUCCUGAAACCGGAGUACAGAUCAAAGACAUUGAAAUUGAUCCACAAAUUAACCUAUCAGCGAGACUUUACCUGCCCAAAAAUGUCGACCCGGUUCAGAAAAUCCCCCUUUUCGUCUACUUUCACGGCGGCGCUUUUGUAAUCGAAUCUGCUUCUUCACCUACCUAUCACAAGCAUCUAAGCAUGGUAGCAGCUGAAGCAAAAGUCAUCAUUGUCUCUAUUAACUACAGGUUAGCUCCUGAGUACCCGUUGCCCAUAGCAUAUGAAGAUUCAUGGAUAGCUCUCAAAUGGAUCGCUUCACAUGCUAAUGGUGAUGGUGAUGAACCAUGGCUAAAAGACCAUGCCAAUUUCAAUCGCGUCUAUUUUGGGGGAGAUAGUGCGGGUGGUAACAUCGCACACCAUAUGGCCAUUCGGGUCGGGUUGGAAAAGUUGGAGGGUGUGAAACUUGAUGGGAUUUUCCUUGCCUGUCCAUAUUUCUGGGGGAAGGAUCUGAUUGACGGUGAGGGAGAAAACUUGUUUGUCAAGGAUUUUAUUGAUAAGCUAUGGCUGUUUGCGAAUCCCAACGGCUCGGGAUUAGAUGACCCAAUGAUUAACCCGGAAAAGGAUCCGAAAUUGUGUAGCUUAGGGUGUGAGAAAGUAGUUGUGUAUGUGGCCGGAAAAGAUGCAUUGAGACUCAGGGGAUUAUACUAUAAGGAGGCGUUGGAGAAGAGUGGGUGGCCGGGGACGGUGGAAGUUGUGGAAGUUAAAGAUGAGGAACAUGUUUUUCACCUGUUUGCUCCUGAAGCUGAAAAUGCCAUGGCCAUGUUGAAAAAAUUGGUCUCUUUCCUUAAUCAGUCUUAGGCCUUCUAAUCAUGGAAUUGAGUACUAUUUUUAUGAAUUAAUUGGAUGUAAUUGUUAAAAAAUUUCUUUUUAUUGAAUAAAUGUUGGAUCAUUUAGAAAGAUCUUGUGGUAGCUUAUUACACUAUGUUGUUAAUUUUUGUUUAUUGAAAUCUCAAGUUCAAAUAAAAUUCUAACUUGAUUUCAUAUUGCUUAUUAGAAGAUCAUGUCUAAAUAAUCAUAUUUCAACUUGUGAUCAAUCCCUAAAUACCGAUAGAAAAAAAAUAAGGCAUAAUAGUUAUUUUUUAUAUAACAAGAUUAUUAGUUAUUCGUUGGAUUUCUUUGUGAUAUUUCACUUGAAUCAUUAAUUUUCUAUCAUAGUUUCUCCCUUAUUCGUAUAAAUUAUAAUACUCCUUCCGUUCAAAUUAAUUGAUUAUCUUACUAAAAAUGUUUGUCUCAUAUUAGUUGAUCACCUUACUAAAUAAAAAAAAUAUUAGUCAAAAUUUUUCUAUAUUACCCUAGCAAUUAUUUCAUUUGAAAGUGUUCAUACUUAUUUGUAAAAUUUCCAAGAAGUUUUUUAAAGAGGUGAAUAAGUUAAAUUAUUUUCUUAUUUAUGUCAUAGCUAAUGUUAAGGGAAAUUCUAAUUUGCAACUACAGGUUUGCCCAAUCUUGCUAAGCCUGGUUUGUAUAAUUCACAUGAUUGUAUAAUAUUGUUCUUGACUGCAUAAAUUUAAAAUUUUGAAUAUGCUUACCUUAGUUAUUUGUAUAUGAUUUAUGAAAAAAUUAUAAUAAAGUACCUCGUUUGUAUUUUGACAAGUGAAAUAUACAAAUAGAUAGAAAUAUAUUUUUGCAACUUUUAUAGCAAAUUAAAUUAUAGUUAUGAAACACAAUCAUCAAAACUAUAGCUAUAAAGCAUAAUUAUAUCUAUUAUGUUUGCUAUUUCGAAAAUCUUUCUCUUUAUGAUAUAUACUUAAAAUAUAAGAGAAAAGUUGUUGCUCACAUAAUUUCAUUAAAGUUUGAGUGGGAUAUCCUUAAAAAACAUGAAAAUUUAAGAGAAUACAUAGAAUAACCAUAUGAUCAUUUAAAUCAUUUUAGAAAUUAUUUCAAAAAUUGACAUGAAACCAUUACAAUCUUUUCUAAUAUUUGAAAGAACUUAAGCAUCUGAUUCAAAAUCUUAAAAUAAUGAACAAGUUAUCUUAAAACAUGGUCUAAAACCCAUAUGAAAAUCUUCAUAACAGAGGAGAGACGUACAUAAUUAUUGGAUUACGAAAUAAUAAUAUUAAAUUAUGUUAAUCAUGGCGCUAUUUAUCGGAGAAAGUGGUCAUAAUUCAUAUGAGGACACUUUUUUAUGAAUAGAAAAUGGUUAUUAUUCCUUGAAAUCAUCUAUAUUCUUAUAACUUAUUACUUCACUAUCUUUUAAUUGGAUAUGAAAAUGUUUGUAUAGUAUAUGAAAAAGUAGAAUUAUUAUUGAAAAAAUGAAAAGGGCCUAAAAUACGUUCGAACUAUUGGAAAUGGUAUAAAAUACUCUUCAUCCACCUAUUGAUUUUAAAAUGCCCUUUUCGCCACGUAUUGACUUCAAAAUAUUCUUGUCAUCCACCUUUGAGUUCAAAAUUGACCACUUGUUUAAGGAUUCAAAUUUAAACCAUUUGAAUAAUUUUUUAAAAUACUUGGCGCUCAACAAUUUGAUAUAAUUUAAUUUAUUAAUAUCAUUUAUAAAUCAACUUCUACCCAUCCAUUACUAAUUAAACCCCACCCAAUUAAUAAAUCAACUCUAAUAUCAAAAUCGCCCUAAACACUAUUAAAAGGCACGACGAAAUUACAGAUUCCUAAAAAUGAUAUUCAAAAUUAUUCGAGUUUGAAUUGAAAGUUCAAUUAAAUUUAGCUUGAACCACUUAUUUAGGAAGAUACUUUCAAUAUGAUUCUCUUUCAAGCUUAAAUUCGAAUUUUAUGAUUAAAGAUAAAGAAAUAGUACAUCCCGAAUUAAUUCAUGCAUUUUUUAAAUAUAAUUUAAUAAAUAUUUAUUAUUUGUUUUAAAUAUUAAAACUUUAAUACAUUCUUUUUAAAAAAGUUAUCUAUUAAGUAACAUCACAUAAUUGAGACGAGUGAAUAAUUAAGAUGAACAUAGUCAGACUUUUAAGUUUAUUGAUAAUUUUUAAUUAGACACUUGAAUUAUAAUAUGUUUUGAUUGAGGACUUCUAUGUAUGAUAAUCUACUUCUAUAGACAUUUUUGCCUCAAAAUUUUAGUAUUAGCUGUAGUUUUUUUGUUGUUGCAUUAGUAAUGAGUCGGGUUUAUUAAUUGGGUGUGAUUUAAUUAGUAAUUGUGAGUCGGGUUUAUUAAUUGCGUGUGAUUUAAUUAGUAAUUAUGGGUAGUAGAUUGAUUUAUAAAUUAUAUUAAUAAGUUAAAUUAUAACAAAUAGUUGAGAGUCAUGUAUUAAAAAAUAUUUAAAUAGUUUAAAUUUAAAAUCGUUAAAUAAGUGGCCAAUUUUGAACCCAAAGAUGGAUGACAACGGUAUUUUAGAGUCAAUAGGUGGAUGAGAAGGGUAUUUUGGAAUCAAUAGGUGGAUGGAAGAUAAUUUUGUACCAUUUCUAAUACUUCAAAAAUAUUUUAGGCCGUUGAAAAAAAGAGAUCUUUUUAAUUUAUUUAUUUUGAAAUGUGUUUUUUGUUUUUGUGGAGUUUGUUGAGGGACUCCAUAACUUGUUCAAAUUUUGUUUGAACAAGUAAUAGCACAAAUAAAUGCAAAUGGCCAUAAAAACUAUCAAAAUUAAAUUAUUAGUUACUUUAAGUAAACAUGUUGAUGUUGACCCCAAACUAGGAAAAAAAGGAUUUGGACAUUCAAUUCAAAAUGUGUUAUAAAAUCAAGCUAAUAAGAAUAUAAUUAUAAAGAGAAGAAGACAAGAAAAGUAGAUAGAAGAAAGGGAAUUUUCUUCUUAUUCAAGUGUGUACUUCAAAUGGUGAGUAAUGUCUCUAUUUAUAGUGUUGAAAUAUCACUCCCAAAGAUAACCAAAUUAAUAGAUACAUAUUUGUCCAUAAUGGAUCAUAUCACCUUGAAAAUAUACAUACAUGAAUACAAGUAAAUCAUGAAUAUCCAAUGGACAAUCCACUUAAUUAGUUCAAUGGAUUUGUAACACUUCCCCUUGGAUGUCCAUAGAUAAUGUGUCUCGUUAAAACCUUAUUUAAAAAAAACCUGUGGAAAAAAAUUUCUAGUUAAGGAAAAAGAGUACACAUCUUUUGAUACGCACUAUUUGUUGCCUCAUUAAAAACCUUGUGAGAAAACCCAGUGGGAAAAAACCUCGGUCAAGGAAAAAAAAGUGCAACACGUAUUAUACUCCCCUUGAUUAAAACAUCACUUAAUUUCUUGUGAUGAUGUCUCCAAUCUUCGUACAUUGUGGUUGGUAUAUUAUUUUUCAAAGAAAAACCACAACCCUUAUAGGCAAGAACAAUUUCUUUCUUUUGCCCUUUCGGUAGUUCACAAUAAACAUACCAUAGUGACGUAUAAAACGUACAAUACAAUUAGCCAUUUCUGCCAAAUACAAUUUAUUUCCUCUCAAAUCUCCCGUAGAGAUGAGAAGUGACAUAUAUCAUUUUUUCUCAAACCUUCCAUAAGGUGAGUUGUGGCAUAUAUCCAACCUAUAAUGAUUUUAUCACAUCUUGAUCCAUCUCUUAUAAAAUGGUCCAGCAUUCACGAUACUCAUCACAAGUCACAUUCUCUUGAAGGAAUGGACUAAUUAUUUGUAUGUGCUUCAUAAAUUUGCAUUAUAAGCACAUUGUCAUGGCUUUAAAAUUCAUCAUAUUUCCAUGACACACCUCAACAUCACUUUGAAAGAUCAAGUGUACCAUCACUUUAUCUUCUUGUAUCAUGAUAAAGGAUUUAUAAACUUGUCAAAUUAUUAGGUUGACAACAUUCACAAGUCUAAUGACCUUUCAUACAAUUUUGAUAAUAAAAAUUGUCUUCACAUUUUGAAGGACUAUUUGAAGAACUCAUAGUGUUCUUCCUUUUAUCAUUACUACAAUGAUAACUACUAUAAUUUUGUCCCUCCACGCCCUUAUUCAUAUCAUUAAUUAUUUGUCAUCUUUCAGACUAAUCAUUCACUCCUACCAUAUUCAUAUGAUUGGAUGGAGCAAGUCAACAGACAGAUUUCAGAGUUAUCACAUGUUGCUACCACAUUCUUUUCAAGGAAUGGAGCAAAUUUAAUAUGAUGAAUUUCAAGACAUUUCAUCAAAAAUAUAUUAUUUUUCUUAGUUAUCAUUUUAUCAUCGCUAUGGUGCAUUGACUCAAACUCAAUGUCUUACCCAUAUAAGGCGUGUUACGCCAUAAUUCUAUGGGACUUGAACCAAAUCACGGUGCAUCAAAACUCUAAUUGAUGUCUUACAUCUUAUCCUCAAAUAUUUUUCAUUACGGUGCAUCCGGACUUUAACAUGAUGUCUUACCCUUUUGGUGCAAUGAAACUUGAAUCCGUCGUCUUACCCUUAACCAACGGUAUAAUAACGAAGUACAACAUGAUUUAUUCUUUGAGUCUUUCACAACAAUCAAAAUAAUAUUCAAACUCAUGCUAUUAAAAUUUUAUACCUUCUUCUAUUUAAGAAGUUUUGUAUAGCAUGUCAUAUUCAACCAAUAGUAGUAUAUGUCUUCGGUUCCUGAUAAUUGUUAGUGACUGAAUACUAUUUUAUUCUAAAUCAUAAAAUAUUUUAGAAAAUACAUACUUGAUUUUAUGCAUAUAAUACUUUGAUAUUCAUAACGAGAUCAACCAAAAUAUAAGCUAAAGAAAAACACGAACUCACUCUCAAUUAGACAGAGACUCGUGCUGAUAACGUGCUAUAAAAUUAAGCUCAUAAAAAUAUAAUCAUAAAGAAAAUAAGACAAGAGAAGUAGGAUUUUUCUUCUUAUUCAAUUGUGUACUUCAAAAGGUGAGUGAUGUCUCUAUUUAUAGUGUUGAGAUAUCACUCCCAAAGAUCACGAAAUUAAUAGAUACAUCACCUUGGAAAUAUACAUACAUGAAUACAAAUAAUUCAUGAAUAUCCGAUGGACAAUCCACUUAAUUAGUUCAAUGGAUUUGUAGCAAAAUGCAUAUAAUUAAUUAAAGGAGGCAAAUUUUAAAACGAAGCAAACUCUUGGUUAUAAAAGCGAGUGUCACAGCACUAGUUUAUAUAUAGUACCAACCUUCUCUUCCUUGUAACUUACCUUUUAGCAAUGGCGGAAAUAGUACAUGAUUUUUUCCCAUUGAUGAGAGUUUACAAAGAUGGUCGAAUCGAGAGGCUGGCCGGCGAAGGUUUUGUCCCACCUGAAUCUGAUCCUGAAACCGGAGUACAAAUCAAGGACGUUCAAAUUGAUCCACAAAUUAACCUAUCAGCAAGACUUUACCUGCCCAAAAAUGUCGACCCGGUUCAGAAAAUUCCCCUUUUCGUCUACUUUCACGGCGGCGGCUUUGUUAUCGAAUCUGCUUUUUCUCCUACCUAUCACAAAUAUCUUAGCCUGGUAGCAGCUGAAGCAAAAGUCGCGAUCGUCUCUGUUAACUACAGGUUAGCUCCUGAGUACCCUUUACCCAUAGCUUAUGAAGAUUCAUGGCUAGCUCUCAAAUGGGUCACUUCACAUGCCAAUGGUGAUGGUCGUGAACCAUGGCUAAAAGACUAUGCCGAUUUCAAUCGUGUCUUUUUAGGCGGAGAUAGCGCGGGUGGUAACAUCGCACACCAUAUAGGAAUUCGAUUAGGGUUGGAAAAGUUUGAGGGUGUGAAAAUUGAUGGGAUUUUCCUUGCGUGUCCAUAUUUCUGGGGAAAGGAUCGUAUUGAGGGUGAGGGAGAAAACUUGCUUGCCAAGGAUUUCGUUGAGGACCUUGUGUUGAUUGGUAAUCCCAAUAGCACGGGGUUAGAUAAGGAUCCUAUUGACUUAGGUUCCAAGGAUCUCUUUGAGAAGCUAUGGUUGUUUGUGAAUCCCACCAGCUCUGGAUUAGAUGAUCCGUUGAUUAACCCGGAAAAGGAUCCGAAAUUGUCUGGGUUAGGGUGUGAUAAAUUAGUUGUGUAUGUGGCCGGAAAAGAUCCGUUGAGAUUCAGGGGAUUUUACUACAAGGAGGUGUUGGAGAAGAGUGGGUGGCCGGGGACGGUGGAGGUUGUGGAAGUUAAAGGCAAGGGACAUGUGUUUCACCUCUUUGUUCCUGAAGCUGAAGAAGCCAUAGCCAUGUUGAAAAAAUUGGCCUCUUUCCUUAAUCAGUCAUAGGACCCAGUCAUUUAUAAUCUUGUUUGUCAUGGAAAUUCAACUAUAUAAUAAGGCAUCAUGUGCUUAGCAAAUGAAUUAAGUACUAUUUUUAAUUAGACGUAAUUGUGUUUUUGUUGCUUAAAACCUUAAAAGUGAUUAAUAAAAUAUCUUAAAAGUCUUGUGAAAGAAGUCUUCAUUACUAACAGGGACGUGCAUAAUUGUGAUCGCUAUUGUGCAUAAUUAUUAAGUUACACAAUAAUAAUAACUUUAUUCUGCCUCGUUUAAUAUUUUUUCAAACAUUUGC
RNAcentral lists this long non-coding RNA (9052 nucleotides) under Solanum lycopersicum (tomato). Its description in RNAcentral is "long non-coding RNA (SLYC_LNC001109)". Lineage: Eukaryota; Viridiplantae; Streptophyta; Magnoliopsida; Solanales; Solanaceae. The record is from RNAcentral.